Molecule: ribosomal RNA, 240 nt
Filed under: uncultured Staphylococcus sp.
Lineage: Bacteria; Bacillati; Bacillota; Bacilli; Caryophanales; Staphylococcaceae
Description: partial 16S ribosomal RNA
Rfam family: Bacterial small subunit ribosomal RNA
Source: RNAcentral
GGACGGGUGAGUAACACGUGGAUAACCUACCUAUAAGACUGGGAUAACUUCGGGAAACCGGAGCUAAUACCGGAUAAUAUUUUGAACCGCAUGGUUCAAAAGUGAAAGACGGUCUUGCUGUCACUUAUAGAUGGAUCCGCGCUGCAUUAGCUAGUUGGUAAGGUAACGGCUUACCAAGGCAACGAUGCAUAGCCGACCUGAGAGGGUAAUCGGCCACACUGGAACUGAGACACGGUCCAG